GUAGCUUUUCUUUUCUAUAGAGACUUAUCGAUGAAUUAUACUACUAAGUGGGUCUUGUGUUUGUUAUGUUGGCCUACACAUACACAUGGGACUCAGGACCCUUUUCGGCCUUAUAUUACUUCUCCCUCUUUAUCUUGCCUUUACUUUUCAUAUAUUCAAUUAGAUUAUAUUUAGGGUUAGGGUUAGGGCAGUCUAUUCUCUCCUCCUUUUCUACUUCCUCGUAUUCCUCAUUUUCCGACUCCUUUUUUUUCUUUUUUGUUUUUCAAGUUUUCUAUUUCAUUGCCUGCUGAUCUUGAUGUUGGUAGCAAGCACCGAGAGGGUUUAAUUAUGAAGUCCUGAAUAAACAAAAGAAACCAGUCACUGUUUGCCGGUGGAGCAUCAUCAAGAUUCACAAGCUUUUUAGGGCCAUUAAUUUGUUUGAGGUGGUCCCUUAUUACUCCAAACCAAUUAGGCCUUUGCUAUGGGAAUCUUGAUGAUGCUGCAGCAGCAAUAAAUGACUAAUACCACCGGCUAUUGUUUGAGGAUCUUACCACUACGCAACUGUUCGACAAUGCUCGGAGCAAAAGAGGUUAUUAAUUAACUCAACAGUUGUCAUGCUAAUUUGUUUUCUAAUAUUUGAGAAGUUAAUUAGAUCAUCACCCAGUUACUUGCCACUUUUGGAUUUACCUUUAUUAACUGCAGUAGCUGUUAAGUCGUGUUCAACAUGGAUGGUAAAGUACUUGAGGUUUUUUGUGGAAAUCUUGAAUCAAGUGCAGUUCAGACCAUUCGUUGAUUGAGACAGCAUAGAUAAUGAUGCCAUUGGCCUGCCUGUACUGCAAAACCCCUUACCACCUGCAAAGCUCAGUAGGUAUGUCUGUACGUUGAUGGAACAUUGUGUACUACCAUGGAUCAUUGAAUGCUUUUACUUCAUGGACAUUUGGGGUAACACUAUUUAUCUUUUCUCUUCUUCACUUAUAUACACACCUGUAUAUAUAUAAAUAUAUGUGUGUGUAUGUAUAUACAUCUCAUAUAUAUGCAUAUACCUGUAUGCUUAAUUUGAGAUUGGGCAUGGCCAGCAUCUUUUUCUUUAUACACGAUGUGUUUGGAAUAUUAAUAUGUUAAUGAUAUUAAACAUAUGUAGGUAGCACUUUCAGUGCUCUUGAUAUUGUUGCCGGAAAAAGCAGAUUAAAAUUAAUUGUUUCUCGGAAUGAACAUAAUUAUCCUUUUAAUUAA
Molecule: long non-coding RNA, 1212 nt
Organism: Vigna angularis (adzuki bean)
Lineage: Eukaryota; Viridiplantae; Streptophyta; Magnoliopsida; Fabales; Fabaceae
Exons: 2
Source: RefSeq, a predicted model, not a curated record